GUGACGUUAAAACACCGGUUUCCGUACGAUCACCGAAGUUAAGCAACGUCGAUCCUCGUCAGCACCUAGAUGGGUGACCUCUUGCGUAUACCAAAUGCCGUA
This is a non-coding RNA of Acanthosepion pharaonis, 102 nucleotides long. Lineage: Eukaryota; Metazoa; Mollusca; Cephalopoda; Sepiida; Sepiidae. The record is from the annotation of a GenBank genome assembly.